RNAcentral lists this ribosomal RNA (622 nucleotides) under uncultured archaeon. RNAcentral describes it as "bacterial SSU rRNA". It matches the Rfam family "Archaeal small subunit ribosomal RNA", at positions 147 to 774 of the family's 1478-position model. The record is from RNAcentral.
UAAUACUCCAUAGAUUAGAGACACUGGAAUGUUCUUUAGUCGAAAGUUCUGGCGCCUUAGGAUGGAUCUGCGGUCGAUUAGGUUGUUGUUGGGGUAACGGCCCAACAAGCCUGUAAUCGAUACGGGUUGUGGGAGCAAGAGCCCGGAGAUGGAAUCUGAGACACGAUUCCAGGCCCUACGGGGCGCAGCAGGCGCGAAAACUUUACAAUGCAGGAAACUGUGAUAAGGGAACUCCGAGUGCCCGUAUACGCGGGCUGUCCAGGUGUUUAAAAAUCAUCUGAAGAAAGGGCCGGGCAAGACCGGUGCCAGCCGCCGCGGUAAUACCGGCGGCUCGAGUGGUGGCCACUAUUAUUGGGCUUAAAGCGUCCGUAGCUGGACCGAUAAGUCUCUUGAGAAAUCCGCCGGCUCAACCGGCGGGCGUCUAAGGGAUACUGUUAGUCUAGGGACCGGGAGAGGUGAGAGGUACUCCGGGGGUAGGAGUGAAAUCCUGUAAUCCCCGGGGGACCACCGAUGGCGAAGGCAUCUCACCAGAACGGCUCCGACAGUGAGGGACGAAAGCUGGGGGAGCGAACCGGAUUAAAUACCCGGGUAGUCCCAGCCGUAAACUAUGCGCGUUAGGUGU